Molecule: non-coding RNA, 94 nt
Organism: Stenotrophomonas maltophilia SKK35
Lineage: Bacteria; Pseudomonadati; Pseudomonadota; Gammaproteobacteria; Lysobacterales; Lysobacteraceae
Source: Rfam
AUCUAUGGCGGGCGGUACGUGGGGGCCUCGUGCCCGCCGGAGCUUUGGCAACGUUAGUCGCCGGUAUUGCAACCACGCACCGUCCGCCACCCUU